RNAcentral lists this ribosomal RNA (480 nucleotides) under Enterococcus durans. RNAcentral's name for it is "bacterial SSU rRNA". It matches the Rfam family "Bacterial small subunit ribosomal RNA", at positions 75 to 534 of the family's 1533-position model. Lineage: Bacteria; Bacillati; Bacillota; Bacilli; Lactobacillales; Enterococcaceae. The record is from RNAcentral.
GGAGCUUGCUCCACCGGAAAAAGAAGAGUGGCGAACGGGUGAGUAACACGUGGGUAACCUGCCCAUCAGAAGGGGAUAACACUUGGAAACAGGUGCUAAUACCGUAUAACAAUCGAAACCGCAUGGUUUUGAUUUGAAAGGCGCUUUCGGGUGUCGCUGAUGGAUGGACCCGCGGUGCAUUAGCUAGUUGGUGAGGUAACGGCUCACCAAGGCCACGAUGCAUAGCCGACCUGAGAGGGUGAUCGGCCACAUUGGGACUGAGACACGGCCCAAACUCCUACGGGAGGCAGCAGUAGGGAAUCUUCGGCAAUGGACGAAAGUCUGACCGAGCAACGCCGCGUGAGUGAAGAAGGUUUUCGGAUCGUAAAACUCUGUUGUUAGAGAAGAACAAGGAUGAGAGUAACUGUUCAUCCCUUGACGGUAUCUAACCAGAAAGCCACGGCUAACUACGUGCCAGCAGCCGCGGUAAUACGUAGGUGG